GAUGAAGAACGUAGCGAAAUGCGAUAAGUAAUGCGAAUUGCAGAAUUCCGUGAGUCAUCGAAUCUUUGAACGCACAUUGCGCCCUCUGGUAUUCCGGAGGGCAUGCCUGUCUGAGCGUCAUUGUCAACCCUCAAGCUCAGCUUGCUGUUGGGUCCCCGUCGUUGCUUUAACGGCGGACCCGAAAGGUAAUGGCAGAGUCCGUGAGACCCUAGACGCAGCGAGCUUCUAGCACGCGUCUGGACGUUUUUCGGGCUCGGUCUUAACUAGAUGAUAACUUCCGAUUGACCUCAGAUCAGGUAGGGAUACCCGCUGAACUUAAGCAUACCAAUAAGCGGAGGA
This 339-nucleotide unclassified non-coding RNA is filed under the name soil metagenome. RNAcentral's name for it is "partial contains 5.8S ribosomal RNA, internal transcribed spacer 2, and large subunit ribosomal RNA". The stretch from base 1 to 120 matches the Rfam family "5.8S ribosomal RNA", at positions 35 to 154 of the family's 154-position model. The record is from RNAcentral.